GGGCCCGUAGCUCAGCGGCAGAGCAGGUGGCUCAUAACCACUCGGUCGCAGGUUCGAAUCCUGCCGGGCCCA
RNAcentral lists this transfer RNA (72 nucleotides) under Armatimonadota bacterium. Its description in RNAcentral is "Armatimonadetes bacterium (groundwater metagenome) tRNA-Ile". It matches the Rfam family "tRNA". Rfam says of the family: Transfer RNA (tRNA) molecules are approximately 80 nucleotides in length. Their secondary structure includes four short double-helical elements and three loops (D, anti-codon, and T loops). The record is from RNAcentral. Lineage: Bacteria; Bacillati; Armatimonadota.